RNAcentral lists this ribosomal RNA (293 nucleotides) under uncultured bacterium. Its description in RNAcentral is "partial 16S ribosomal RNA". It matches the Rfam family "Archaeal small subunit ribosomal RNA", at positions 455 to 747 of the family's 1478-position model. The record is from RNAcentral.
GUGCCAGCAGCCGCGGUAAUACCGGCAGCCCGAGUGAUGGCCGAUCUUAUUGGGCCUAAAGCGUCCGUAGCUGGCUGCGCAAGUCCGUCGGGAAAUCCACUCGCCCAACCAGUGGGCGUCCGGCGGAAACUCCGAGGCUUGGGACCGGAAGGCUCGAAGGGUACGUCCGGGGUAGGAGUGAAAUCCCGUAAUCCCGAACGGACCACCGAUGGCGAAAGCACUUCGAGAAAACGGAUCCGACAGUGAGGGACGAAAGCCAGGGUCUCCAACCGGAUUAGAAACCCGGGUAGUCC